UGGGGAAUAUUGGACAAUGGGCGCAAGCCUGAUCCAGCAAUGCCGCGUGUGUGAAGAAGGCCUUCGGGUUGUAAAGCACUUUUAUCAGGAGCGAAACGCUGUCGGCUAAUACCCGGCGGAACUGACGGUACCUGAGGAAUAAGCACCGGCUAACUUCGUGCCAGCAGCCGCGGUAAUACGAAGGGUGCAAGCGUUAAUCGGAAUUACUGGGCGUAAAGCGUGCGUAGGCGGUUUCUUAAGUCUGCUGUGAAAUCCCCGGGCUCAACCUGGGAAUGGCAGUGGAUACUGGGAGGCUAGAGUGUGUCAGAGGGUGGUGGAAUUCCCGGUGUAGCGGUGAAAUGCGUAGAGAUCGGGAGGAACAUCAGUGGCGAAGGCGGCCACCUGGGGCAACACUGACGCUGAGGCACGAAAGCGUGGGGAGCAAACAGGAUUAGAUACCCUGGUAGUCCACGCCCUAAACGAUGCGAACUGGAUGUUGGUCUCAACUCGGAGAUCAGUGUCGAAGCUAACGCGUUAAGUUCGCCGCCUGGGGAGUACGGUCGCAAGACUGAAACUCAAAGGAAUUGAGGGGGUCAUAGCUGUUUCCUG
RNAcentral lists this ribosomal RNA (588 nucleotides) under uncultured bacterium. Its description in RNAcentral is "partial 16S ribosomal RNA". It matches the Rfam family "Bacterial small subunit ribosomal RNA", at positions 355 to 941 of the family's 1533-position model. The record is from RNAcentral.